AGUCCAGAAGUUCCUAGAUGGGUUGUACAAAGUACAGGCUCUACCCAGGAGGUCUACUGUCUUGUACAAAGACAGCAAGGUUUUUCAGGGUCCAGACCCCAUCGCCAGACUCAAGGGCAGUACUCGUGAUUAAGAGGAAGGGCUAGUACUGGCUUGGAACUUUGAUGUUGUCCUUUUCACUAUCCAAAUACCACAGAGACUCUGUGUCCUGGUCCCAGAAGGGCAGAGGCGGAGCAGGCCUUUUGGAAUGCAGUCUGCCACCCCCCUUUCCCCUGGGGCCUUGUAUUGAGCUGAUCUUGCAAACUCUCUGAGAGUUCACCGGGUGUCUGUUUCAAAUGGGAGAUUAAAGGAGGCCAAGAAGCUUCUUAGAAAAGACAAUCACUCCUGAAGUUCAAACUAAUACCCCCUGAAAGAGGAAGGAACCUGGGCCAACGUGAUCCUUUGGUGGGAAAAGGAGUUUGUGGCCAAGCCUGAAGACCCAAGUUCAAUCCUCAGGACCCACAUGAUGGAAGGAGAGAACCAGCUCCUGCAAGUUGUCCUGUGGCCUCCACAGGCCUUCCCGGAACGUCUUCAAAAAGAAUUAUUGGGCGAUGUUUUGGAAAGACUGAUAACCGACGCCAUGCUGGUGGGUCAGCACCUUGGCUGACUGUGUGGCUCAGGCUCUUCGAAGGAGUCUCAAGGAUCCUAACAGAGAAAGGCUAAGCAGGCCGGAGAGCUUAGGGUUACUAGCUCUUGGCUUCUGAGUGUCUGUUCAAAGCAAAUAACAAAAAGAAAAGAAAAUGUUCUGGAUAUGUUUAAAAUUUUUUUGAAAAAAUCAAUGACUCAUUUGUUACAGAGUAACAAAGUACAAAAUAAAAGACACUUCAUAAAAAUUGCAUUCAAA
Long non-coding RNA from Peromyscus maniculatus bairdii (prairie deer mouse), 883 nucleotides. RefSeq lists it as uncharacterized. The record is from RefSeq and is a predicted model, not a curated record. NCBI's taxonomy places the organism in Eukaryota, Metazoa, Chordata, Mammalia, Rodentia, Cricetidae.